CAACAAAAUUAGUCAGUUCUUCCAAAAGCUCUUUGGGAUCUCAGCACAGCCUCAGAAGGAUCCAGCUCUGCCAGAGCCUCUGUGUAUCCCAGAAGCGAUUGUGGCAGGAGGAACCAAGUCUCUUCUUAUGGUGCGUUAUUGUUGCGUCAGCGACCACGUGCUAUAAAAACGGGAACGUAUGCGCUUUUUGAGGUGUGUCGCUUGACUAAUCGUAGCGCCGUUAACACGCUUUCGUCAUCUCCCCGGAACUAAUUGGAGCACGCGAGCUGAGACGUGACUCAAGUAGUGGUUUUGAACCAAUGUUCCUUGCCGCCGGGCCACCUGAGGGGGUUCGUAGAAGUACUUAAAUACUGGAGAAGCUGUGGUAACCGGACACGCUUACCGAAUAGUUUUUUGUUCCCUGCAUUGACACGUACUACUCGUAUCAGUGGUUGAAAUCCAAAUUCCUUCGGUCCGUAAGUAGGUUUUUCAUUAUAAUAUAGUGGGGUAAGGGGAGUGUGUUUUAAUAGUGUAACGCUCUCUUUCUUGCUUUUUAGGAUAAGUGAAGGUCCAUAAACUGCACUACAGUCGCCUUUUUUGCUUUAAUGGUUGCAGUGCUGUCCUGUUUCCAGAACUUUUUUGAUUUAAUAUUAUUUUUUUGGUUUUCCAUAUGUCUUCCCCUUUUGAAGUUGAACUGAUUUCUUUUUGUUUUCGGUUUUGAUUUAUUCGAACUGACUUCCUUUAGUACUCAGUGGAGCUAAUUAUGUGACUUUUGGUCAAGUUGUUUUGUUUGUUUUCUUUUGUGCUUUAAUUCUCUUGAUGGGUUGUUGAUGAUGCUAUUUCAUUUAAGUGACGAAGUUACUGACCUGCCUUCUUUGUUGUGACAGGGCCUGAGCACCGGGGCAGAGAAUUCCUUUUAGGUGGUGGUAUCUUCCUCACAGCGUGCAGUGAUCACCUUCCUAUGUGCGUGCGUGUGUGUGUGUGUGAGUGUGCCCGUGUGUCUACAAAGUGAAAUGCAGUCACCAGCGAGUGGUGUGGUCUGUCCUCCCUAGUUUCGGUAAGCUCCAGCCCGGGGGCCCUUGACUUUUAGAAGUGUCUUGUGUAGAUCCAACAACCUUCUAGACUAUUUUAAAUGUUAUUCCAUCUAAGAUUUGUCAAUAAAAAAUGUGUCGUGACCAACUUCUCUGACUCUUAAUUGGUGGUACGAAUCUGUGUUAGCCUAAUUUAGGUGGUUUAUUUCAACUCUUUGGGUGAAAUUCCCAUAGUGGCGUAGUCGGAGUGCUAGUCCCCUUUCAUACUGGGGAAGUCUGAUAUUUCCUGCCACCUGACCCCAUCAUCCCAACGCCACACAAGCAUUCCCAAACAAGAACCUCAAGCGACAGAGCAUUCAGUCUUAGAGAACUAUAUUCCUCUAAACAUUUCCCAAUUGAAAAAUCUUUUGGAGGAAGGUAAACUGUCCGAGACGCCUGUCACUGAGGUCUGGCCCAACAUCUUCUUGGG
This is a long non-coding RNA of Puntigrus tetrazona (Sumatra barb), 1479 nucleotides long. RefSeq lists it as uncharacterized. NCBI's taxonomy places the organism in Eukaryota, Metazoa, Chordata, Actinopteri, Cypriniformes, Cyprinidae. The record is from RefSeq and is a predicted model, not a curated record. The transcript is spliced from 3 exons.